GCAAGUUCAAAGCCAGCCUUAGCUAUUUAGUGAGGCUCUAAGCAACUCAGUGAGAUCUUGUCUCUAAUAAAAUACAAAAUAGGGCUGGGGAUGUGGUUCAGUGGUCAAGUGCCCCUGAGUUCAAUCCCCUGGCACCCCCUUCCCCCCAAAAAAUAGUGUUAAAUUUUGUCACCUAAUUUUUCUACAUCUAUAGGGAGAAUAAAUUUUUUUUUACUACUGAGCUAUCUCUAACCCUAUUUAUUGUUUUAUUUUGAGACAGGGUAUUGCUAAGUUGCCCAAGCUGGGCUUAAAUUUGCAAUUCUUCUAAAGGUAUGCACCACUUCACUUAGUGGGUCAUGUGUCUUGUGGACUGAGUGUUGUGUAUUCUCCCAAAAGUUAUAUGUUGGAGCCUAAUUCUUAAUGUUUUGAUGUUUGAAGAUGGUGCAUUUGGAAGGUAGUUAGGCUUAGAUAAGGUCAUGAGGUUGAGAUGCUCAUGAUGGGAACGUCCUUAUGAGAGAAUGAACAAACCAGAGCUUCUUUUGUUAAUGAGAACACAAGUAUUGUGUGUAAGAGAUCCUUACUAGUAAAGUGAAUUGGUUGGCGCCUUGUUCUUCCUAGCCUUCCAAAUUGUAAAAAUAAAUUUCUCCUCUUGGAGCCACUCAAUCUAUGGCAUUUUGUUAUGGGAGCAUGACUUGGCUAAAAUAUGUGUGCAUUUGUAUAUAUGUAUCUUUCUGUGUGUUUAGCAUCUUUGUCAGAUGUUGGUAUCAAAGUCAUUAUCCUCUUAUUAGAUGCAGAAAAAAAAAACUUAAAAAUACUUUAAAAAAUGACUAAAACACUCAAACUAGGAAUAAAAGUAUAUUUUUCUCAACACGGUAAAGGAUAUCUAUAAAAAAAGCCACAACAAAUGUCUCAUUUAAUGGUGAAAAAGAGUGUUUCCCUCAAAGGUUAGAAACAAGGCAGGAAUGUUGUUCUUACCAAUUCUGUCCAUUGUUGUCCUAGAACUUAUAGCCAGAACAAUUAAGCAAGAAAAAGGAAGAAAAUCAUCUAUUGGAAAGAGGUUAGUUAUUUCUGUUUACAAAUAACAUAAUAUAUAUAGAAAAUCAAGAGGAAUAAAUAAAUCUUUUAGAACUCAUAAAUGAGAUCAGCAAGUUUCCAUGGUAUAAUAGCAAUAUACAAAAAUCGAUUGUAUGUCUAAAUACCGGCAAUGAACAAUCUGAAAGUCAAAUUAAGAAAAUAAAUUUUAUUUACAGAAUACCAAAAUCAAAUAAAAAUAAAUUUAACAAAGACAGUAUAAAAAUUAUACCCC
This 1285-nucleotide long non-coding RNA is filed under the name Marmota monax (woodchuck). Lineage: Eukaryota; Metazoa; Chordata; Mammalia; Rodentia; Sciuridae. The record is from RNAcentral.